GGCCGAGCGCCCCUCAUCCGGCGGUACUCGAUCUCCGCCCCCGCCGCCGCCACCGCCGCCGCCUCCUCGCUGCCCUUGCAGCUCUCGCUGGCCUCCAAGGUCCAGAGCGGCUUCGAGCCGCGUAAGUCGUCGUCGACCUCCGCCUCCUUCGACGCCGACGACCAGCACCGGCCAAGGGCCCCCUCGUCCGGCGGUACUCGAUCUCCGCCGCCGCCGCCGCCGCCUCCUCGCCGCCCUUGCAGCUCCCGCUGGCCUCCAAGGUCCAGAGCGGCUUCGAGCCGCGGAAGUCGUCGUCGACCUCCGCCUCCUUCGACGCCGACGACCAGCACCGGCCGAGCGCCCCUCGUGCGGCAGUACUCGAUCUCCGCCGCCGCCGCCUCCUUGCCGCCCUCGCAGCUCCCGCUGGCCUCCAAGGUCCAGCGGCUCGUGGACAAUGUCCAGCUUGCGAGGCAGGAUUUCUUGGAGCUGAGACAAGAGGCGAGCGAACUGCAGGAGUAUUGAAGCUCGAUCGAGUCACGCACUACCUCGGCGUUCUCGCCGACAAGACGCGGAAACUAGAGUAAUUAUGAUAGAAAAGAAUCACCUUUUCUGGCGAAAGAAUUACUUAGAAUUUAUACAAAGGAGAAAAGUUGGAGGGAGCGACUCUUGAAAAAUGGCAUUGUAAAAUCAUCUCCAGUGCCACCACGGACACGUCCUGAAUGUGUGGGGACUGAGGAGGAUCCUAAGUGCAUUAUAUGUCAGCAAUAUCAGUUGUAUGUGAUUGUAGGCCAUCUGCUUUUGUUUGUCUUGAGCAUUGGCAACACAUCUGUGAAUGCAAACCCAGCAAACAUUGCCUCCUUGACCGUCAUACAUUAGCAGAGUUAAGUGACUUGCUGCUCACUGUCGAUAAAUACAAUGGUGAGGAGACUCAAAGGAGUAAGGUGCUCCAGCAAAGAUCUUUCCCCAGCAAAACAAGUUCUUCAGCGAAAAGGUAUUGUCAGAUACAAGACUUGCUUAGUCAAUUAACAAAGAGACUGGAUGAGGUAUCGAAUAAAGCAUGUAGAAAACAAAUUGCAGCAAUUAAAACAACUUCAGCCUUGGUGUUCAUUCUAUAAAUUUAUGACUGGAUGAGGUGUCAAUCUUAAGCAAGGUGGAUUGUCUCAUUUUUAUACUUACUAGGUAUUAUAUGAUCUUUGUUUUAUGGAAGAGUCUAGCUGAAGUUGGUUUUAUUGCUUUGGUCUUAGUUGUCAAUGUUUUUUACUGGUUGAGUGGCAAACUAUGUACAUUCUAGGAAAUUCUUUUCUACCAAGGUCACUGCAUAAUUGUUUGGUGUUGGAAUAAAUGUCAAUGAAGAACAAAGUGAAAUUUAGUGGUGUUUAGUGAGGUUUGGAAUCUGUGCUAAUCUCCUCUUGUUCUUUAAUAUUGUGCUGGAGUUGAUUGUCCUUGUCAAGAUUGUUAUUUUAAUUUGCCUUUUGUUCUUCAGUAAGAGAGAAUGUUCUUCUGGAUUAUAUGUUCUUGUAGGUAAAAGGUGGCCAUGCUACUUUGGCUCAUCUUGCAGAUCAAUGGCUGUUGCAGUCAACCGAUGCUCUUAAAAAUCCUUUCUCUAAGGAUAUUUAUCAAAAACUGUUGAAAGAAGGUACGUACCAUGGCAAAGAAGUUAGUCGAUGUGCAGAGGUGGGCAGAAGGUGUAAGAAGUUGCCUCACAAAAAUUGAAAAUCAUUCUCUGGGCUCUACUAAUGCUUUGGAGAGGGCAGAUUUAGAAUAUGUCACUGAAUUGUUGAGUUUUGAUACCAUGCCGUGUAACGAGCCUGGACAUCUUAAAUUGAAGGAGUAUGCUGAAGAGGCAAAGAAGUUGGCCGGAGAGAUUGAAUCAACUCUUUCGUCAUCUUCAAAGUUAUUGGAGUUGGAAAACCUUUACGAUAGAAGCUGUCGCUUAGGAAUCCUUGUCAAAGGAAGCGAGAAACUGGCACAGAAAAUUUCUUCAAUGGAGGUAUUCUCUAUCAGGAUUGAUUUUGUGGGUCAAGAUACAUUAAGCCAUAUCCCUACAGUUACCUAAAUUGUCUCUUUUACGUG
This is an RNA transcript of Eucalyptus grandis, 2052 nucleotides long. RefSeq lists it as uncharacterized. The transcript has 8 exons. The record is from RefSeq and is a predicted model, not a curated record. Lineage: Eukaryota; Viridiplantae; Streptophyta; Magnoliopsida; Myrtales; Myrtaceae.